This 319-nucleotide ribosomal RNA is filed under the name uncultured eukaryote. Its description in RNAcentral is "partial 18S ribosomal RNA". It matches the Rfam family "Eukaryotic small subunit ribosomal RNA", at positions 1470 to 1796 of the family's 1831-position model. The record is from RNAcentral.
CCCUUAGAUGUUCUGGGCCGCACGCGCGCUACACUGAAUGGAUCAACGUGUUUUCCCUUCCCGAGAGGGACGGGUAACCCGCUGAACCCCAUUCGUGGUAGGGAUCGGAGCUUGCAAUUGUUCUCCGUGAACCAGGAAUUCCCAGUAAGCGCAAGUCAUAAGCUUGCGUUGAUUACGUCCCUGCCCUUUGUACACACCGCCCGUCGCACCUACCGAUUGAAUGGUCCGGUGAAAUCUCGGGACGGCGGCUUGGUCGCUUGCGUCCGACUGCUGAAACUUGAUUAAACCAUAUCGUUUAGAGGAAGGUGAAGUCGUAACA